UUCGUCAACGCAAAGGGCUCUCCAUAUCUCAUCUUCGCAACCACCACGUCGCCUCCAUGAGUCUCGGGGGAGAACCCUAGCCGCCACUCCUUCCCUCCCCUAUACCUCCUCCCCGUCUCGCCGCCGCCGCCGGAGUGCGCCCCGGGGCGAAGCUAGGGCCAGCGCCUCCAUGCGUCUCGGGGGAGAACCCUAGCCACCACCCCUUCCCUUCCCUAACUCCUCCCUGUCUCGCCGCCCCCGCCGGAGGGCGUGCCGGGGCGAAGCUACGGCCAUCCCCAAGGAGGGCGACGACGGGGCACCUGGUUUGUGUCGGCUUGGCACGGGCGCGCGGCAAACGCUUGGUGCAGCAGCGUUGAGGCACGAACUACGUUGCCGCAGGAGGGUCGCCGACACGAGUUGCUGGCUUGCUGCCUGGCUUAACGGUGACGCGGGCAGGGCACCAUGGUGCUAUCUGACCCCCUGCCUUGCUUCCGCCGGAUGCGGGCUCUCUCCACUCCUCAUGCAUCCGCCGUGUUGGUCCAAGCAGAGGACGAAGUCCAGCCCUUGCCAACAAGCUCAUAAUGAUUUCAGAAGUACGGUCUAAUGGAAGGGUGGAGGAAGAUUUUUGAAAUGGCAAAGUCGUCAGCAAGGACAUGAGACAAGAGGUCUGACCGAACUACGUCAGUCAACUACGUCAGGUGCACCUUGACCUUCUGCCUGAGCAGAUGAACUAGCCACUGCCCUGGAUGUUGUGUCGUCCUCCAGUCCCGCUCUGCUGCUUCUGACCAAACACCUCAAACCAAGACUGAUUGCUCUAUUAUUGUGAUCGGUCAAUACAAUAUUGGUUCAAGCUGACUGAGUAGUAUUUGUGAUCCAAAUGACUGGUUUCAGGUAUCAACUUGACAUAUGUAUGUAGCCCUCUCCAUUUCCUCAUUCUCUGAUUCUUUGGGUCAUUUUAGAACUUCUGAUGGGUUAAGUUAUCUGCAGUAUAGUGUCGAUACUGCUCUAGGACACCUCCCACAUUAGUUCUCCAUUGCAAUUGUUCACCCAACGGACAAGACAGACGUCUCUAUGCUCGCCCACCAUUAUUUGACCGGAUACAGUCACCCAUAAGAUCAGUAUGCCCCAACUUAUAUUUUUCUAACUUCAUUAUUUUGGAUUAUCGGUUGUCCUUACUGCUAUCAAUCCAUGGCAAGAAGUAAUGCAACUAAACUACUUCUCUGAGUUUGGUGGGCAGUAAUGUAAGAGGAUUAUCGCCGCAUAGUCAAUUAGCUAAUGAAUAUUGUGUUUAUGGUCAGAUAACUCUCUCGCUGGUAAUUUGAAUAAUAAAUGUAGAAUUACCUACCGAUCUUGUUUUAGUUGGACUGAUAAUUUGGUACUGCAGGAUACAUUGAAAAGCAUU
Molecule: long non-coding RNA, 1381 nt
Organism: Triticum aestivum (bread wheat)
Lineage: Eukaryota; Viridiplantae; Streptophyta; Magnoliopsida; Poales; Poaceae
Exons: 4
Source: RefSeq, a predicted model, not a curated record